RNAcentral lists this ribosomal RNA (485 nucleotides) under uncultured bacterium. Its description in RNAcentral is "bacterial SSU rRNA". It matches the Rfam family "Bacterial small subunit ribosomal RNA", at positions 30 to 504 of the family's 1533-position model. The record is from RNAcentral.
UGAACGCUGGCGGCAUGCCUUACACAUGCAAGUCGAACGGCAGCAUGAUCUAGCUUGCUAGAUUGAUGGCGAGUGGCGAACGGGUGAGUAAUACAUCGGAACGUGCCCUGUAGUGGGGGAUAACUAGUCGAAAGAUUAGCUAAUACCGCAUACGACCUGAGGGUGAAAGUGGGGGACCGCAAGGCCUCAUGCUAUAGGAGCGGCCGAUGUCUGAUUAGCUAGUUGGUGAGGUAAAGGCUCACCAAGGCGACGAUCAGUAGCUGGUCUGAGAGGACGAUCAGCCACACUGGGACUGAGACACGGCCCAGACUCCUACGGGAGGCAGCAGUGGGGAAUUUUGGACAAUGGGGGCAACCCUGAUCCAGCAAUGCCGCGUGUGUGAAGAAGGCCUUCGGGUUGUAAAGCACUUUUGUCCGGAAAGAAAUCGCACUUACUAAUAUUAGGUGUGGAUGACGGUACCGGAAGAAUAAGGACCGGCUAACUAC